CCGCUAUCAUUCUCGGAGGUUUGGACUUCGUGGUGUCACUCUCCCCAAGUCAGAACAAUGUCUCCUACCCUAGACUGCUUGCUUAUCACCUCGAUGUGGAGCCCCUGGAAAGAACGAAACUCCAGAGUUUUCAGAUUUUGUGCUUACAUGCCACAUGCUGCAGCUCGAAAAGCUGUCUCUAUCUUUCUUGAAUGGCUGGUGGACGAUCCUCACCCUAAUAUUACUCUUGUGCAUUCUCAGUUAUCCCAGCUAAUCCAGGCAUCAAGAUAAUAUAUCCCUAUGUGAUA
RNAcentral lists this long non-coding RNA (287 nucleotides) under Elaeis guineensis (African oil palm). RNAcentral's name for it is "long non-coding RNA (EGUI_LNC053346)". The record is from RNAcentral. Lineage: Eukaryota; Viridiplantae; Streptophyta; Magnoliopsida; Arecales; Arecaceae.